CACUGAGUUGCUUAGCGCCUCACUUUUGCUAAGGCUGGCUUUGAAUGAUCCUCCUGCCUCAGCCUCAUCAUUGGGAUUACAGGUGUGUGCCACCACACUGGCUAGGUGCGGACAUUUCUAAUGAUGCCUGAACAUAGCAACUGCCCAAUAAAAAUUAAUCUCCCUUUUGAAAUGCCUCCCUCAAAAAACCAGUGCAACUGCCACUGACAGAUCAUUUCAAGAAAUAUCAAGUCCCUAUUAUGUUUGGUAUUAGCAGUUAUCAGUAACACGAUUUGAACUUUCAAUUGACUGAACUAAUUCAAAGGUAUACCCCCAAUGUUAAAAUGGGUCUCUGCUAUACUCAGCAAUACUCUCACCCUUAUGGAAACGUUUUUUGUUCUUUUAUGGUUUUUUUUUGUGUGUGCGUCUGUGGUUUUUUUUGUGUGUGUGUGUGUUUGUGUGCGUGUGUGAAGCUAGGGAUCAAAUCCAGGGUCCUUCACAUGCUAGCCAUGCUCUUUAAAACUGAGCUGUACAUGAUUCACAAUUAAGAACAGCAGCAAGUUAAGAGGACAGAAGAGGCUUUACCACGAAGCUACAUCCCUGGCCCUUUAUUUUGAGACAGGGGUCUCACCAGGUUUCCCAGGCUGCCCUCAAAUUUGCAAUCCUCCAACUUCAGCUGAGGAGUCAGAGUCACUGGGAUUAUAGUUGUGCACCAGUACAAGAUUUUGCAAUUCUAACAAACUCAAGAUAAUAAAAAUGGUAUUUAUGCAUGGGCCACACCCUGAGAAUGGUGGGAGUUUUCAACUAGAGCUACAGAUUAGAAACACCGGGAAAAGCUUUUAGUUGGGUAUGGUGGCUCACGCCUGUAAUCCCAGUGGCUCAGAAGGCUGAGGCACAAGGAUUGCAAGUUCAAAGCCAGCCUCAGCAACUGGUGAGGCGCUAAGCAACUCAGUGAGACCCUUCUCUAAAU
Molecule: long non-coding RNA, 949 nt
Filed under: Marmota monax (woodchuck)
Lineage: Eukaryota; Metazoa; Chordata; Mammalia; Rodentia; Sciuridae
Source: RNAcentral